GUGUUGGUUGUCUCUGUCCUUCCUUCUCAACGCAUCCAGGAUCUUCAACUCCACCAUGGCCUGGUGGUGGAACCUGCAGCCAAUCAUAACAGAGAAGCAAUGUUAUAACAUGUGUCAUAGCAUGUUAUUAGUGAAAGGCACUUCAGGACCUGUCCGAAGGAUCCUUUCCCGAUCACCUCCAGCACCUCAAACCGGAAGCCUAUGUGGUCAUGCGCGACCUGCAGAGAAAAGGAUAGCCUCCGCUCUCAUCGUCGUAGCCAGAGUUGUGUGGCAGGCUGGGGGAACCCUUCAUCUUCUUGGCAUCCAGGCCCAGGUACCAGACCUCAGAGUAGUCCAUGAUCUCCUCCUGCUCAUGCUCCGUCAGACGAUCUUUGAACGCCUUCAGGACCUCUGUAUAGGAGGGAAAGGAAAUUACUGUCAGCAAAUCCCAGUUUGCAUUUGUUUCUUCCUGAUUAAAUAAGAUCAAGGGACAGAAAA
Oncorhynchus nerka (sockeye salmon) is the source of this 477-nucleotide long non-coding RNA. RefSeq lists it as uncharacterized. The record is from RefSeq and is a predicted model, not a curated record. The transcript has 3 exons. NCBI's taxonomy places the organism in Eukaryota, Metazoa, Chordata, Actinopteri, Salmoniformes, Salmonidae.